UUUAUGAAGUGCUGUUUCAUCAGCGUGUCUGAGGUCGAUGCAUGUAUGUAAAUACUGCUAGCAAAAGCAAUAAUGUUGUCUUUCAUCACAAUAGAGAAUCGUUACCUUUGUGUGCUGUGCCAGUGUUUUUUUCCCUUUUUUUGGUGUGUUUCUUUUACAUCUAUUUCUUUCUCCAGAGGAGAUGCUGCCUUUUUUUUUGACAUUGUAACAAAAAUAAAUUAUUUAGGCAAAAACAUAAAUUACGUUAAUUUAUUCUAAUAAACACGACAGUGUAAUUUCAAGUUUUAAAAAAAGAAAAAUAGCGGAGAAAUUAUAUUGCCAAGUGUGUUAUGUUUCUACUUAAAAGAAUUUCAACUUUAUUUACAGUAUCAUAUAAAGUUUUCAAUGAAAAGCACAAAAUUACUAAAGAAUAUCGACACAAGAAACUUUGCACUUUAGCAAUGCCCGGUCCCGAACACCGGUCCGAAUCACACACUUCUUCUGGACCCAGAGGUGGAGCUCUAAAGCCCCCUCACCCACUCUCUGUCAGGCUCUCCGGCUGGCCGAGACAGAGCGGGCCUGUCGCUAGAGCCAAGCAGCAGCAGCGGCACAGGCACCGCUCUCCCCUCCAGCCCCUGUCUUUAUCCCCGCCUGAGCAUUAGAUGUGAUUACUGCUCAGCGCUCGACACUGACAGAGACCGAGAGCUCCCAGAGACAGCAGGAGCGGGAGAGAGACUGACUGCAGGGAGGAAAAGAAGAGCUCCGCUCUCCGCUGAAGAAGCAGCUGCUACAGUGAUGCAAGAGUGCCCCCUGCUGCUUCCUGUGUCUGGGAGCGUCACUGGACAGUAGAUCGCUUACAGUUGAAGCUCAUCACCAAAAACCAAAUCAUUUAAAUACCAGUGGAAUCCUGCAAAAUGCUGCAGUGACAUGACAGGCAGUGUGUCUUGAAACCGAUUUACCAUGGUCUCCAUGAGCUUCCAGUCCUUCUCCAGUUGCUCCAUCGGUCGGGUCCACCAGCUGCAGAAGCGGGCGUAACGCUGGCCCUGAAACCAAUACUGCCGCAGCCAUUCGAACUCCACCUAUGGAAACACAAACAAGCAAUGAGAAAUACCAACGGCAUGCAAACACUCAAAUUUUUACUACCUUAAACACAUAUGGACUCAGACAGGCUGAAAUUUGCUACGAUUCUAAAUAAACUCAUGCUGGAAAAAAAAU
This is a long non-coding RNA of Xiphophorus hellerii (green swordtail), 1194 nucleotides long. RefSeq lists it as uncharacterized. The transcript is spliced from 3 exons. Lineage: Eukaryota; Metazoa; Chordata; Actinopteri; Cyprinodontiformes; Poeciliidae. The record is from RefSeq and is a predicted model, not a curated record.